GACGAACGCUGGCGGCGUGCCUAAUACAUGCAAGUCGAACGAACUCUGGUAUUGAUUGGUGCUUGCAUCAUGAUUUACAUUUGAGUGAGUGGCGAACUGGUGAGUAACACGUGGGAAACCUGCCCAGAAGCGGGGGAUAACACCUGGAAACAGAUGCUAAUACCGCAUAACAACUUGGACCGCAUGGUCCGAGUUUGAAAGAUGGCUUCGGCUAUCACUUUUGGAUGGUCCCGCGGCGUAUUAGCUAGAUGGUGAGGUAACGGCUCACCAUGGCAAUGAUACGUAGCCGACCUGAGAGGGUAAUCGGCCACAUUGGGACUGAGACACGGCCCAAACUCCUACGGGAGGCAGCAGUAGGGAAUCUUCCACAAUGGACGAAAGUCUGAUGGAGCAACGCCGCGUGAGUGAAGAAGGGUUUCGGCUCGUAAAACUCUGUUGUUAAAGAAGAACAUAUCUGAGAGUAACUGUUCAGGUAUUGACGGUAUUUAACCAGAAAGCCACGGCUAACUACGUGCCAGCAGCCGCGGUAAUACGUAGGUGGCAAGCGUUGUCCGGAUUUAUUGGGCGUAAAGCGAGCGCAGGCGGUUUUUUAAGUCUGAUGUGAAAGCCUUCGGCUCAACCGAAGAAGUGCAUCGGAAACUGGGAAACUUGAGUGCAGAAGAGGACAGUGGAACUCCAUGUGUAGCGGUGAAAUGCGUAGAUAUAUGGAAGAACACCAGUGGCGAAGGCGGCUGUCUGGUCUGUAACUGACGCUGAGGCUCGAAAGUAUGGGUAGCAAACAGGAUUAGAUACCCUGGUAGUCCAUACCGUAAACGAUGAAUGCUAAGUGUUGGAGGGUUUCCGCCCUUCAGUGCUGCAGCUAACGCAUUAAGCAUUCCGCCUGGGGAGUACGGCCGCAAGGCUGAAACUCAAAGGAAUUGACGGGGGCCCGCACAAGCGGUGGAGCAUGUGGUUUAAUUCGAAGCUACGCGAAGAACCUUACCAGGUCUUGACAUACUAUGCAAAUCUAAGAGAUUAGACGUUCCCUUCGGGGACAUGGAUACAGGUGGUGCAUGGUUGUCGUCAGCUCGUGUCGUGAGAUGUUGGGUUAAGUCCCGCAACGAGCGCAACCCUUAUUAUCAGUUGCCAGCAUUAAGUUGGGCACUCUGGUGAGACUGCCGGUGACAAACCGGAGGAAGGUGGGGAUGACGUCAAAUCAUCAUGCCCCUUAUGACCUGGGCUACACACGUGCUACAAUGGAUGGUACAACGAGUUGCGAACUCGCGAGAGUAAGCUAAUCUCUUAAAGCCAUUCUCAGUUCGGAUUGUAGGCUGCAACUCGCCUACAUGAAGUCGGAAUCGCUAGUAAUCGCGGAUCAGCAUGCCGCGGUGGAAUACGUUCCCGGGCCUUGUACACACCGCCCGUCACACCAUGAGAGUUUGUAACACCCAAAGUCGGUGGGGUAACCUUUUAGGAACCAGCCGCCUAAGGUGGGACAGAUGAUUAGGGUG
This 1490-nucleotide ribosomal RNA is filed under the name Lactiplantibacillus plantarum. Its description in RNAcentral is "bacterial SSU rRNA". It matches the Rfam family "Bacterial small subunit ribosomal RNA". The record is from RNAcentral. Lineage: Bacteria; Bacillati; Bacillota; Bacilli; Lactobacillales; Lactobacillaceae.